RNAcentral lists this long non-coding RNA (1280 nucleotides) under Monodelphis domestica (gray short-tailed opossum). RNAcentral describes it as "lncRNA (ENSMODG00000036087.2)". The record is from RNAcentral. Lineage: Eukaryota; Metazoa; Chordata; Mammalia; Didelphimorphia; Didelphidae.
CAUGGUUGGACUUGAGCUAAAGUAAAAUCUCUUUGGUGGCUUGAUAGAGGAUGGAUCUGAGUGAGGAGAGACUUGAGGCAGGCAGACUGACCAGAAGGUUAUCACUGUAGUUUAAAAGUGAGGGAAUAAGAACCUGAACCAGAGUGUCUAGAGUAUCAGAGGAAAAAAUGGACAUAUUUAGAAAUUUUUUCAAAGUUUUAAUCAGAAAACCUUGACCACAGGUUGGUUCUGGGAGGAGAGACGUAGUGAGAAGAAGAGACAGAGAUAGUGAAGAGUUGAGAAUGACUCCUAUACAGUGAAUCUGAAGGGUCAGCAGGGUGUGGAGAUUGGAUUUGGCUCUCCCCUGAUUGUGAAGAUUAAAUUGAAACCCCCAACUAUUUUUAGAUUUCAUCCCCAUAAGUGCAUGUGAAUUUUAGAUUUACUCCACCCUGAUUAUUCUUUAGAAUUUUAGCAACCAGGAAUAUAUACACUCCCACAUAAGGAUUAACUGUAGGGAAGAAUGGUCUAUGACCUGCAUAUGCUAGCAAGAGACAAAUCAGAAACAACUGACUGACCCCCUUGGCUGUCCUAAACCAAGGUUAAGCUACCAUUGGGACAUGUGAGACACAGGAAGUGAUGUAAAGAAUUGCCUUUAUAUUUCUCAUCAUUUCCUGUGGGAGGGGCUUUUGUGGUGUUUGGCAGUGGUACUUGACUUGGAGGAGCUCUGGAGUGUGGGGACUUCAGACUGCUUCCCUUAGACUACAACAUGAACAGUGAUAUUCCAUUCAUACACCAUUUUUGUUCAUCCAUCUCCCAACUGAUGGAGGCCCAUGUCUUUAGUGCGAAAAAAAGUGAAAAGAAUGGUCAAAGAGGGCAGAUUGCAUGCUAUAGUGGAAAAAACAUGCGGCUUGUCAUCAGAAGAACUUGGUUUUAAUUCAGGGCAGCUAUGGAUAAAUCAACAAACCCUGUCUAAACUCCAGAAAGAAGAAAUAAUAGAUAUAUAAUAUUUCACAUAACUUUUUUCUCAAUUGAUCUUCACAAACGAUACAAACAAUUCUAAAAAGCACAGUAACUCUUAGCUUCCCAUAUAUAUCUUUAUUUAAGAAAGAUUUGCAAAAGAAAACAUAUAAUUAGGGGAAAUUUACUUGACUUGAAAUCAAAAGACAUACUCUUUUGAUUAUUCUUUUUAUGUACCUGGGCAAGCCAAAGUCUGAGCUUCCUCAUCUUUAAAACUUGUGUUAUUAACCUAACAGGUGUGGAGUCAGAAUAAAAUUAAACAAUGUGUAGAGGUCUUUGUAAUC